Molecule: non-coding RNA, 7536 nt
Organism: Delphinapterus leucas (beluga whale)
Lineage: Eukaryota; Metazoa; Chordata; Mammalia; Artiodactyla; Monodontidae
Source: RefSeq, a predicted model, not a curated record
GGAAGGGGAGGGGGGAGGACUGCCUGGAGACAGCAUUUGCUUAGUUCUGCUGCCCGUUCUCCUCCUUCGCUUUGGUGGAAAUGUUUCCAAAUUCCAGACCAUCCACACUAGUAACACUGACCUAAGAUUGUUAAAGUACCUCCUAUUUUGAUAUACUGUGAAUGCUACCCAAUGUUCCUAUUUUAGAUGAGAAGUAUGUUGGAAUAGGGAAGAAAGGUAUUAGAGCAGAAGCUUGGGAAGCUCAAAGUCACCAGGAAGACAAGAGCAUAACUGAAUUCUAGUUUUGAUUCUAUAACUAAUCAGCUAGUUUGUUAUGUCUUCCCACCCAUGAUUCCCACCUACCUAGAGUAAAUAUAUGCUGUUGAAUGAUCUUGGGAAAGACACCUAGUCUUUGUUAGUCUCAGUUUCCUAACCCAUCAAAUUGGAACAGUAGACCUCAAACUUUAGUGUUUCGGAAUUAAAUAGAAUGCUUAUUUAAAAUGCAGAUUCCUUGGCUCCAAAUCUAUAAAUUCAGAUUCGGUAGAAAAAAUACGCUGGGAUCCAGCAAUCCACAUUGAUUUGAGAAACUUGGGCUGUUAAGGGGCAGAAAUCCAACUCAAAAAGGAAAGUUUGUUUCAUUGCUUAUUCUCCCUGCUACAUACAUAUUCUCACACAUACUCACAUAAAUUGGAAAAUACAGUGUAAGGACUGCUUUAGGCAUAAUUAGAUCUAGCCGCUCAAAUAAUAACCAACUAUCUCUUGGUCCUCUUUUCUUCUGUUUUCUCUUUAUCCUCAGGUUGGUUGUCCCUUUACUAGAGUAAGCUACUCCCUCCAGGCUUCCAUUCUUCUGACAUAGAAACCCCAGCACAAAGAGCGCUCCUCUUUCUCAAAGUUUCCAGAAAUUAUACCUGGUUGUGACUGGAUCAAAUUGCACCCUGUACCCAGACCUGCACUGAUCACCCUGGUCAGGGGCUGCAGUUCUUUAACUCACCAGCCUUGGGUCACAUGCCCAUCUUGGAUUUGAGAGUGUUAGCCACACUACCCAAAUCAGGUAGUCUGGGAGUUCUCCAAGACACACUGGGGAUAAUUUCCCAGAAAUAGGGAAAGUGGAUGCUUAUUGGCCCAAACUGUAGAUUUCCAUCCACUACUGUACAUUUCCUAGAAGUACUUAGAUGAGAAUAAGCCAACUGCUCUGUUACAAAUGGAUGACCAGUGUACCAAGAUAUUGAGGCCUUCAACCUUUCAGGUGACCCAACAGCACCUGGGAAGGGCUUACGAUGGUCAGAGUCCCUCAGCCAGUUGCCUCAACCAUUUACCCCAGCGUUUUUGGCCAACAUUAAGCAUUUUCUAUGUGCACCACGAAGAUGAUUUAUAUGCAGCUCACCUGUGACUUGCACGUUGCGAAUCAAUGGAUUUUGAGAAUCAUUCACACUUUGGGGUCAUCUCAAACACAAUAAUAUUGUUAUUCUAAGAUCUUCCUGAGAUAACUUGGAAGUUGGCUUACGCAAAUGAAAGGACAAUAAAAGCUCCCCUUACGGUGCAAAAAAGUAGGACAGACAAACAAGCAGGGCCAACAGUUAUAUCCUACUUUGAAUUGGUUUUCAGCUUGGUUUUAUUUAAUAUUCUUGGGCAAAUGUAGUCUGUUCCAUCUAAUGGAUACAGUCCUAGUCUAGAUCUCAGUUAAUGUCUGGAACACGAAUGGAUGCACGUUAUACAACAGUGUAAAGGGUUAAGCUGGCAACAGCAUAGAACAGAAAACUGAGUUAACUAUUGGCCAUCAGUUAUGUUUUAGGUGCAUUAUGUGCAAGUUCAUGGAAAAAGUGACUUCUAAUAAAUGGACUGUCAGCCCAUUCUUUUGUUAAGUGAAGAGGCUACUACGUUUUCUUAAACUCAUUAAUAAGAUUAGCAAAAUAAAAUGUCUACCUCUUCAUUUUACUACUAAGUCAUUAGUGUAGUUUCAGAUGGCCUCUCCAUGCCCUCCCUCCCCAUUUUCAUCUCCUCCAAAGCAACCCAAUAUGCCAAAGAAAGUAUUUUCAACACAUGGUGCUAGAAUGACUAGACAUCCAUAGAGAAAACAAACAAACAAAAAGCCCUUGAUCCGUCCCUCACAUCAUACACAACAAUUCAUUGGCAACAGAUUAUAGCUAUAAACGUAGAAGCUAAAGCCCUAAAGCUUGUAGAGCUUUACGUUUUAAAACGUAAGUUGGAGAUAGACAAAGGUUUCUUAGAGAAGCCAAAAAAAAUCAAUAAUCAUAAAAGAAAAAAAUAGAUAAAUUACAUGCUAAAAUAAAAAGUUUCUCCUCAUCUAAAGGAAAGAGGGGGAGGAAUAAAGCCUGGGAAUCCAUGAUCAAACAAUCAUUGCCAUCAGGAGGAUUUCCUCUCUUGUGCAUUAGUUCAAGUCGUUUUGACUUGUAAGUGAUUGAAGCUGACUCUGAGCUCAAGCAAAAAAGGAAAAGCAGACUGGGGCUUUUCAUGGAAUCCAAAGUCAGGGGCGCAAUGCGGCCUCACAGAACAGAAGUCCUGAAGUGCUAGAGGGAACCCAGUCAAUCUUCUUUCUCCAUAUCUCUUCUUUGGCUUUCUUCCUUAUGACUGUCCAGCUGCUCCUCUCCUCAGUUACGUAGCAGAACAUGGUUGCAGGCUGUUCUCAAGCCAUGGAUGUUCCAAUGGAGCCAUCCAGAGACAGGACCAUCUUUCUGUCUUUCACAAUUCUCAAGGAAGAGUCUGAUCGGUCCACUGGGGUCCAUGACCACCCUUAAUCCAAUAAACUGACCAGAGGAAGGACAAUGUUUAAAGAACACAGCAGUUCCUUUCAUCUAUGAGAAUGUAGGGUGAAAAGAAAUUGAAUUCUAGUUGAUAUUAACUCCACGUUUCCUCUUUAUUAGACAAGAGACAGAGUUGAUGAAAAUUUUGUACUUGGUCAGUUUUUAAUGGCUACAAAUUUUGAUGUAUUGAUGUACUAUCUCUUUGGUUAUCUAACCUCAGCAUCUCUGCAUUUCUGCAAGUUGACUGAUAUAUAUUAAGGACCAUAAACAAAAUUAGUCCAUUUUUUAAAUGGGCAAAUUUAUUUGUGAAUUAUUAGCCAAGAUCUAUCCAAAUGCAGACAUGCCUUGUUCUAGUCUGAAUAUACAAUAAAAUUAAUUUAAAUAACUUUAAUCAGCUUCAAAAACAGCAAAUUUCAAGACAAUUAGGUUAACUUUAAGAACUCAUAUUUAUUGAGUUAACAGAUGGUAAAUUAAAAAACAAUGAAGUUAAUUUUUUAAAUCAUUCAUUGAAUUAGAAAAACAGACAUUUAACAAAACUGUUUUUAAGCUGGGUUUUUUCUUUCAUCCCAAUAUGCAUAUGUUAAGAUUCCAAUUUGGGGGACUUCUGCAAAGACACUGAAUGAGCUGCAAUAUAUGAAUACACUCUUCCACCGAAUUACUUUUUUAAAGGCUUUAAAACCAUCUGUAGAAGAAUUUUAUGCAUCAACAGUAAAAAUAUGAGAAAUAAACAUAUUCCAGAUAUUGGAAGGAAUGAAGAGUCUACUUUGUCACAUUCAUACUGUAACAUGUUUCUGUGGCCUUCAGUGUUGCUGGCCCUGACAUACCUUGGGAGUUUCCUAUGCUAUAGCAGAGUAAAAGUUACUCCUGGGCAGAAUUGCAUUACUGCAUUUUAAUGGUCAAACAUAAGACUUCCCUUUGAUGGCUUCUUGGGCCUUGUGCACCAAUGACUUGAAAUAUAUAAGCAUCACAAAAUGUUCUCCUUUGUUCCUUUUUUGUUCUCUCCUUUGCUUUCUUGGUAAGUGCUAGAAGCUGGCCCCGUAAGCUUAUAAGGAAAGGGGAAUUUCAUGGAAGUACAUUGAAGGCAUGGGAGCUUUUCCUCUGUAGAUGGAAUUGGAGAUAACACCACUGAUAAAUUAAGAUAUAUCGUUUGCAUUUUACUGGCUAUUGUUAAUUUUAACAUGAUGGCCUGUCUAGAACUAGAGUUAUACAUGUGGAAGCAAAAUUAUUCCAUAAAAAUAAUUGGAAUAGAUUUGUUUGAAUGGCUGGUUGCUCAGUUGGUGUUGUAGUCCUUUCCUUACCUUAGACAGUUACAAACUGUAAUAUAAUUUAUUUCAUGGUCCUAAGAACUCGUUGUCUAAAAUGUGGUCUUACUUUACAUUGUAAGUCUAACAUUACUUGGUCAGUAAUGUUGAGAACUAUAUUUAUUGAUUUUGAAAUAAAAAUUUAUUCUUUGUAAUUUGAGUUAAAAACAGAUUUAAAAGCACACUUAUUAAAAUUACUGUAGUAAACAUUAUUUUAUUAUUGUGCAUUUCAAACUGUUUAGCCCCUAGCCCCUUUUCUCCUUGAAAUAAUUGUUUUUUAUAGUAACCUUUUGAUAAUAUGAGGUGUCUUAGGAAUGCAAUUAUAACAAUAUAGCAGGACAGACUCUUUUGUUUUUAAUUUAACAAGAACAGGUAAAAAUCAGAAUAGAUUGUGACUAAAUAAAAAAUUCAGCAAGUGAAAUUUCUGUUUUGCAGAAGUAGAAAUGAGGGAUACAGAAGAUAAACCUCAUAACUAGUCUAACUAUCCAAAGAAAAUGAAUAAAAGUUAAAAGGAUAAGAGGAAAAUGGGCAAGUUCUGGAGUUCUAGCUUAGAUCGUAAGCUCCUUGAGAACAAUAAACAUCUUAUUGUAAUCCUACCCCAACGGAGUGCUUAACACAGUAUAUACUGUUAGUGUGAGAUAAAUAUUUCUUGAAUUUAUGAACAGAAUGAUGAAAACAAUUCAUUUAUUUAUGAAUAAAAUAAAAUUUAUGAGUCAAAUGAUCCACCUGAAAAUAGAGCAGGUGGAUCAGAAGUAAAAAUCAAAGUUGUACCAGAAGAAGACUUUCUACAUGUAAAAGCCACAGUGACACUGUAAGGUUUCUUUUGGGCAAAACUAAGGAACAGAGAUAAAUGUCUGGUCAUAGGCUGGUAAAUUUUUAAAUUUCUAAGACAAACAAAAUUCCUGCAAGUAUCUAGGAAAACAUAUAUGUGCUCUUGUAGAUUGCCUUCAUAUUUCUAAUAUAGAACAAGAACUUUUUUAAGACCAUAGUUCAAUUUCUACACAAUUUUAAGAGAAACAAGUUUGAUUCUGCAAGUUUUAUGCCUACCCAAUUAUUGGCUUAUAUGUAUAAACAACAGAAGAACAUUUUUAAAUCUGCAAGGUGUCAGAUUAUUUUCUGUAAAAAUUGCAAAGAGAUAGCUUCCAGAUCACUAAGAGGUGAGACAGUACAAAAAUUCAAGAAUAGGAAAUUUCAGGGAAAAAGAUUAGUGCUAAUUUAACAUAGAAGGUAAAGACAAAGUAAUAAAUGAAUAAAGUAUAGUGAACAUUGAAGUGAAUUAAGAAUUGAUGCUGAUGGCUAGAAUUUUUUUUUUUACUAAAGAAACAAUGUUUUCAAUAAAACAAUCCUGAAAAGGAGGUUUUAAAAUUUUUAAUAAAGAGUCUAACUUAUGAUCACAAUGUGAAAAGAGAACUUGGAGAAAACUAAAAAAGCAUUAGAAGUUUUGCUUUUCUUUUUAAAUCAUUAGGUAAGAAUGCACUUAAGGUUAAUUGUGAACAAUUUAAUAUAGGUACGAGUUGAAUAGGAAACAGAAUAUCUGUUUUAUAAAUAAUCGUGGAAGAUAAAAGUAAACAAAACAUAGUCCAUACAAAAGACAAGAUGGAAAGGAAACAACGAGGAAUUAUUGAAAAAAAGAAAGUAUAAAGUCCAAUUAUGUGAGGUUAGUAGCACUAGUCUUCCAUUUCUUUUCUUCCAUUUCUCACGUUCUCAAAUUUUUAAUAAUAUGUGUUCCUUAUGUUCCAUUAUUAAUAAUAUGUGUUCCUUAUAUUCAAAAAUAUAUACCAUUGUUUAUAUAUAAAAAUCUGAUAGAGUUUAUUGUGUAAGAGCCUGGGCUCUGGAGCCAGGCUGCCUGUGUCACCACUUAUUAGAUGUGAGACCGUGGGCAAGUUGUUGAACUUUUGUUUCUAAGUUUAUCCUGUAAAAUGAUGAUAAUUAUAGUACUUACCUCACUGGGUGAUUAGGAAGAUUAAAUUAAAUGUAUUUAGAUUAAAUUAAAUGUAUUUAGAACACUGUGUGGUACUUAAAUAUGUAAGUAUCAUCUAGUAUUGUUACUGUUAUUUUACAAACAAACCUCAUUGUUUUACAGCUCCUUAGUGACCAAACAAAAUGACAUUUCCCUGUAACUGGUCCUUAGAUAGCACACCCAUUAGCAACAAGUUUCAUUUCUAUAUAUAGGUUGUACUUUGUCCUUACUACGAAUUCCCCAAUGCAGAGAUUUCUAGAAACCUACCUACUGUUGGUUGAAGAGGCACUUCUGAAUUCUUUCCAAGAAGCACUGACAAAAAUCAAACGUCUAUGUUCUUUAUUUUCAAGAAGCUCAGUUUCCGCUUGUGUCAUAUCUCUGAGGACAGGUACAAGAGCGAUUGAAACUGCCCAUUGAAGCCAAUAUUACAUUAAUUUCACCAGCCCUGAAUUAGAGAGAAUAUUUAUCUACUUCCCCAAUUUUCACCUUCUUCUCGAUGCAUGACCUUUUCCAGCUCCCUGAUCUGACAAUAGAAAGCUGUAUAAGAAAGAAGACAUUUGUUGUGACUUGAUUUUUCUGAACUGAACACCCCAGGAGGCCUGAAGAUGUGCUUUGAAACUUUAUUCCACCUGUCAGAUCCAAAAGAUCUGAAGAUUUGGAAGAUUUUGGUAGAAUUUUUUCAUGACCUAAAACAGUUUCAGUGAAAUAAAAACAAAAACAGAACAAAAAACAAAGCAAAAAACCCAAACAACUGUUAAGAUGCUGGGAUUUAUUGUUAGCUGUCUUAAUGGCUAAUGAAAUGACAAGACCUUCUAAUAACCCCUGCCAAUUAUACCGACAGGUGUUUACCAGGUAAAAUAUUGCAGUACCUGUAAGAGGAAAGGAUGCAAAUUGGUAUUUAUACAUUUGGAAGAACAGUCACCUUUGAUGUGCCUAUUUGGUUUUCAGGAUGUUGCUGGCCUCUGCUCUUCUAAGACUUCAGCUGCAGAACCCACUUGUGAACCCUCCUAGGGCUCUGGAGAAGAUCUAAUGGGAGAUUGAGUGUGGAAACUCUUUGGAAACCAUGAAGCACUCCGUAAAAGGGUUCAUAACUGAAGGUCAAGCUAACUUUCAGUUAGAGAAUUUCCCUAAUGUACGAAGACUCAAAAAUAUAUCUGCAGUCACGUGUUUCUCGCAACAUUAUUUACAAGAGCCAAGAUAUGGAAACAGCCUGUGUUCAUCAACAGAUGAAUGAUUAAAGAAGUUGUGGAAUAUAUAGACAAAGAAAUAAUAUUCAGGCAUAAAAAAGAAGGAAAUUCUGCCAUUUGCAAUAGUACGAAUGGAACUUGAGUGCAUUAUGUUAAGUGAAAUAAGUCAGAGAAAGACAAACACCGUAUGACUUCACUUGUAGGUGGAAUCUAAACAAGUCAUAGAAAAGAGAUCAGAUUUGCGGUUACCAAAAGUGGGAGCUGGCGAUGUAAUGUACAACACAAUGACUAUAGUUAACAAUGCUGUAUGGUAUAUUUGAAAGUUGUUAAGAGGGGAAAUCCUAAAA